UAACACGUAGAUGACCUGCCCUAUAGUGGGGAAUAACAUCUCGAAAGAGAUGCUAAUACCGCAUAAGUUCUAUUCUGUGGGGAGUAGAGGAAACCUUGGGUGCAAGCCCUGGGGCUAAAGGAGGGGUCUGCGGCGGAUUAGCUAGUUGGUGAGGUAACGGCCCACCAAGGCGACGAUCCGUAGCUGGUCUGAGAGGACGACCAGCCACACUGGGACUGAGACACGGCCCAG
RNAcentral lists this ribosomal RNA (231 nucleotides) under uncultured bacterium. Its description in RNAcentral is "partial 16S ribosomal RNA". It matches the Rfam family "Bacterial small subunit ribosomal RNA", at positions 111 to 334 of the family's 1533-position model. The record is from RNAcentral.